GAUGAACGCUGGCGGCGUGCCUAAUACAUGCAAGUCGAGCGAACGGACGAGAAGCUCGCUCUCUUGAUGUUAGCGGCGGACGGGCGAGUAACACGUGGAUAACCAACUUCUAAUACGGGGAGAACAACGGGAAACCGCAGCCAAUACUGGAUCAUACUUUGAACGGGAUGGUGCAAAAGAGCUAGACGGCUUUGCCGUCACUUAUAGACGGAGUCGCGCUGCAUUAGCUAGUUGGUAAGGUAACGGCUUACCAAGGCGACGAUGCAUAGCCGACCUGAGAGGAUGAUCAGCCACACUGGAACUGAGACACGGUCCAGACUCCUACGGGAGGCAGCAGUAGGGAAUCUUCCACAAUGGGCGCAAGCCUGACGGAGCAACACCGCGUGAGUGAUGAAGGUCUUCGGAUCGUAAAGCUCUGUUGUUAGGGAAGAAAAUCUGUGUAAGUAACUGUGCACGUCUUGACGGUACCUAAUCAGAAAGCCACGGCUAACUUCGUG
RNAcentral lists this ribosomal RNA (497 nucleotides) under uncultured bacterium. RNAcentral's name for it is "partial 16S ribosomal RNA". It matches the Rfam family "Bacterial small subunit ribosomal RNA", at positions 28 to 507 of the family's 1533-position model. The record is from RNAcentral.